This 277-nucleotide unclassified non-coding RNA is filed under the name Hevea brasiliensis (rubber tree). The record is from RNAcentral. Lineage: Eukaryota; Viridiplantae; Streptophyta; Magnoliopsida; Malpighiales; Euphorbiaceae.
AAAAAGAAAAGAACAAUGAAGCAAGCUAAAAAAAAUCUUGAAAUAAAGAAGCUACAUAGUGUUGUUAGUGGUGUUAAAACAUGAGUGUUGAAAAAGGAAAAAUGUGCGCUUUGCGAUCUUGGGUAUGGUGAUUUGAUGAGAUUCUCAUGACUUUUACACUGGCAAUCCUAAUUUUGAUGGCCUUCUAGUGCGCCAAACGCCAGAUUCUAGUAUAUUAGCAGAUUUUAGUUUAGUGGUAGUGUCUUUGGUGGAUGGAAGUGUUCGCUGGAAGUGGAAA